AGAGUUUGAUCCUGGCUCAGGAUGAACGCUAGCGGCAGGCCUAAUACAUGCAAGUCGAACGGAGCAGCAAUGCUUAGUGGCGCACGGGUGCGUAACGCGUAUGCAACCUACCUAUCAGUGGGGAAUAGCCCGGGGAAACCCGGAUUAAUACCGCAUAAGAUCAAAGAGUGGCAUCACUUUUUGCUGAAACAUUUAUGGCUGACAGAUGGGCAUGCGUUAGAUUAGCUAGUUGGUAGUGUAAGGGACUACCAAGGCAAUGAUCUAUAGGGGUUCUGAGAGGAAGAUCCCCCACACUGGUACUGAGAUACGGACCAGACUCCUACGGGAGGCAGCAGUAGGGAAUAUUGGGCAAUGCCCGCAAGGGUGACCCAGCCAUGCCGCGUGCAGGAAGAAGGCCUUCUGGGUUGUAAACUGCUUUUGGAAGGGAACAAAACGGCUCUGCGGAGCAACUUGAGUGUACCUUCAGAAUAAGCACCGGCUAACUCCGUGCCAGCAGCCGCGGUAAUACGGAGGGUGCAAGCGUUGUCCGGAUUUAUUGGGUUUAAAGGGUGCGUAGGCGGCUUGUUAAGUCAGGGGUGAAAGACUGCAGCUCAACUGUAGCAGUGCCUUUGAUACUGAUGAGCUUGAGUAUAGAUGAGGCCGGCGGAAUUUAUGGUGUAGCGGUGAAAUGCAUAGAUACGAUCCAGAACUCCGAUUGCGAAGGCAGCUUACUAGGCUGUAACUGACGCUGAGGCACGAAAGCGUGGGGAGCGAACAGGAUUAGAUACCCUAGUAGUCC
Molecule: ribosomal RNA, 778 nt
Filed under: uncultured bacterium
Lineage: Bacteria
Description: bacterial SSU rRNA
Rfam family: Bacterial small subunit ribosomal RNA
Source: RNAcentral